Molecule: long non-coding RNA, 1521 nt
Organism: Tribolium madens (black flour beetle)
Lineage: Eukaryota; Metazoa; Arthropoda; Insecta; Coleoptera; Tenebrionidae
Exons: 3
Source: RefSeq, a predicted model, not a curated record
AACAGUGGUGUGUGGAAAUUCGAAAAAAAUCGAGAGUAACUAAAUAGAGUAAUUAUUAUAUCAAAAAUGAAAUAGUGGAAUGUCUAAACUGUUAUUAGUGCAUUUUAUCAAGUGGCGCAGGUGUUUUUUGCGAAUUUUAUGUCCAAGGGCGAGCCCUCGAAAGCCGCGGAUUUUUUACAAUCGGCGGGACCUAUGUAAAAUAGAAUUUAUACUCACUUGCUAAUACAAAAGAGAUAGAUGUCAACAACCGACCAGCAGGAUAUCGCAAUGACUUUAUGUGUGAAGUCAUAGUGGAUGAUGGACUGGAUGAAUAUUACAUCCAAAUAAUCCUCGACUUAAUUCCCCACAUGAUACUCGAACUGGUGGAUCAAGUUGUGUGAUCCACCAGUCGCAUUGAAGGAAGAAAUUGUCUGAUUUGUGAAGAGUGUGAAGUAGAAGAUUAUUUUAAAAUGUUGUAUAAGAAUAUAAAUAGUUUUGGUUCGGGAUCAUAGUGGUGCACCUAUGACUCGUCUAGGGUCACAUACGAACUAAGAAAGUUUUCUUUGUUUGUUUGUUGGUACUUUUCCAAAAGACGCUCAAAAUGACUCCAUCCUCGUUGAGCUGGACAACUUAUCACCACCUAGGUUACUACCACCAGCCAAUAAGGAGUUGUUCCAACGUCAUGAUACAACCACCAAGAGGACGAGCAGGCACUGAGAAGAACCUCACCCUCAAACAAUAAGAGGUCGAAACCGAACCAACUUCUUCAACCUUAAGAAAGAGUGAGGAAAAUGAUUCGCCAGGCAAAUGCAUCGGUUGGAACAGAGUUGUAGGGAUUAAUCCAUCCCUACAUGGCGCUUGGAGGAAAGAAGUCAAGUUUUAAAAAAGAAUCCUAUUUUAGCCGAGACGAUUAUUAAUGACCUCUUCAAAUAGGAGGAUGAAUUGGAGAGGAAAGUAAAACAACAAAGUCACGAGGAGACAAUCCUCCAAGUGCAAAUAAAGGAGGAGAAUAGAUGUAGUAAAAUAAUUUUAAAUAUUAUGGUAGGUUUAUAAAAAAAAUAUGUUAGAUUAGUUAGUUAUAGUUAAAGUUUAUUUUCUAAUUGUUAAAAUAACAAAAAUCUAAUCUACGAGGGAAGUCAGCAUCUCGUAGUUCUUGAACUAACUGCAUGAGAUAGGGAUGAAAUUUACUAGUUUUUAAAAUUCUAGAAACAGAAGAUUGGCUUAUGCCCACUUCUCUUGCAAUUGCUCUUUGCCCAAUAUGCCGAUUUUGUUCAACAGUCUCCAACACCAGAAUUUCCUUUUCUAAACUAGUCGCAGUUCGUAUACGCUUACUUGCAGGCCAAUUGUGACACAAACACAUUUCCAGUCGUUUAAAAAUUUUAUGCGUAGGAUGUAGAUACUCGUUCUGGAUUUUGCCGAGCGUACAGUUGGAGACAAAAUACUUUGGUCGUCACUUUUCUGACACUUUACUGUAAUUCAAGCUUUAACGUUAAAAUGAAUGACAAUUUCAAAUUAAUGACAGCUAUUAUAUUUUCCUAUCAA